This 461-nucleotide ribosomal RNA is filed under the name uncultured bacterium. RNAcentral describes it as "partial 16S ribosomal RNA". It matches the Rfam family "Bacterial small subunit ribosomal RNA", at positions 338 to 795 of the family's 1533-position model. The record is from RNAcentral.
CCUACGGGGGGCUGCAGUGAGGAAUAUUGGUCAAUGGGCGCGAGCCUGAACCAGCCAAGUCGCGUGAGGGAUGACGGUCCUACGGAUUGUAAACCUCUUUUGCCGGGGAGCAAGCGUGCGUUCGUGAACGCUCGUCGAGAGUACCCGGAGAAAAAGCAUCGGCUAACUCCGUGCCAGCAGCCGCGGUAAUACGGAGGAUGCGAGCGUUAAUCGGAAUUACUGGGCGUAAAGCGCUCGUAGGCGGUAUGUCAAGUCAAGGGUGAAAUCCCCGCGCUCAACGUGGGAACUGCCUUUGAAACUGGCAAACUGGAGUGUGUGAGAGGAUAGUGGAAUUCCAGGUGUAGGAGUGAAAUCCGUAGAUAUCGGGAGGAACAUCAGUGGCGAAGGCGACUAUCUGGCACAUAACUGACGCUGAGGAGCGAAAGCGUGGGUAGCAAACAGGAUUAGAUACCCCUGUAGUC